GCAGUGGUAGUUCAGUGGUAGAAUUCUCACUUUCUGUGCAGGAGACCUGGGUUCAAUUCCUGGCCAAUGCA
This is a transfer RNA of Loxodonta africana (African savanna elephant), 71 nucleotides long. It matches the Rfam family "tRNA". From Rfam's summary of the family: Transfer RNA (tRNA) molecules are approximately 80 nucleotides in length. Their secondary structure includes four short double-helical elements and three loops (D, anti-codon, and T loops). Further hydrogen bonds mediate the characteristic L-shaped molecular structure. tRNAs have two regions of fundamental functional importance: the anti-codon, which is responsible for specific mRNA codon recognition, and the 3' end, to which the tRNAs corresponding amino acid is attached (by aminoacyl-tRNA synthetases). tRNAs cope with the degeneracy of the genetic code in two manners: having more than one tRNA (with a specific anti-codon) for a particular amino acid; and 'wobble' base-pairing, i.e. permitting non-standard base-pairing at the 3rd anti-codon position. Lineage: Eukaryota; Metazoa; Chordata; Mammalia; Proboscidea; Elephantidae. The record is from Rfam.